GACGAACGCUGGCGGCGUGCCUAAUACAUGCAAGUUGAACGAUGAUUUCUGGUACUUGUAUCAGAAUGAAGAGUAGCGAACGGGUGAGUAACGCGUGGGUAACCUACCUYUUAGCGGGGGACAACUAUUGGAAACGAUAGCUAAUACCGCAUAACAAUGCUUAACACAUGUUAAGCAUUUGAAAGUACCAAUUGGUACACUAGGAGAUGGACCCGCGUUGUAUUAGCUAGUUGGUAGUGUAAUGGACUACCAAGGCGAUGAUACAUAGCCGACCUGAGAGGGUGAUCGGCCACAUUGGGACUGAGACACGGCCCAAACUCCUACGGGAGGCAGCAGUAGGGAAUCUUCGGCAAUGGACGAAAGUCUGACCGAGCAACGCCGCGUGAGUGAAGAAGGUUUUCGGAUCGUAAAACUCUGUUGUUAGAGAAGAACGUUGUGU
Molecule: ribosomal RNA, 439 nt
Filed under: uncultured bacterium
Lineage: Bacteria
Description: bacterial SSU rRNA
Rfam family: Bacterial small subunit ribosomal RNA
Source: RNAcentral